RNAcentral lists this ribosomal RNA (474 nucleotides) under uncultured bacterium. Its description in RNAcentral is "bacterial SSU rRNA". It matches the Rfam family "Bacterial small subunit ribosomal RNA", at positions 57 to 518 of the family's 1533-position model. The record is from RNAcentral.
GCAAGUCGAGGGGCAUCACGGGAGUAGCAAUAACAACUGGUGGCGACCGGCGCGACGGGUGAGUAACGCGUAUGCAACCUACCUAUCAGAGGGGAAUAACCCGGCGAAAGUCGGACUAAUACCGCAUAAAACAGGGGCACCGCAUGGUGAUAUUUGUUAAAGAAAUUCGCUGAUAGAUGGGCAUGCGUUCCAUUAGGUAGUUGGUGAGGUAACGGCUCACCAAGCCGACGAUGGAUAGGGGAACUGAGAGGUUGGUCCCCCACACUGGUACUGAGACACGGACCAGACUCCUACGGGAGGCAGCAGUGAGGAAUAUUGGUCAAUGGGCGGGAGCCUGAACCAGCCAAGUCGCCGUGAAGGAAGAAGGAUCUAUGGUUCGUAAACUUCUUUUGCGAGGGGAAUAAAGUGCAGGACGUGUCCUGUUUUGUAUGUACCCUGAGAAUAAGGAUCGGCUAACUCCGUGCCAGCCGCGGC